This 253-nucleotide ribosomal RNA is filed under the name uncultured bacterium. Its description in RNAcentral is "partial 16S ribosomal RNA". It matches the Rfam family "Bacterial small subunit ribosomal RNA", at positions 524 to 776 of the family's 1533-position model. The record is from RNAcentral.
UACGGGGGGGGCAAGCGUUGUUCGGAAUUACUGGGCGUAAAGGGCGCGUAGGCGGGUGGACAAGUCUCUCGUGAAAGCCCACGGCUCAACCGUGGAAUUGCGGGCGAUACUGUCUGUCUUGAGUCCGGGAGAGGAGGGUGGAAUUCCCAGUGUAGCGGUGAAAUGCGUAGAUAUUGGGAGGAACACCGGUGGCGAAGGCGGCUCUCUGGACCGGUACUGACGCUGAGGCGCGAAAGCUAGGGGAGCAAACGGG